AUCCUGCGGGGAAGGGAGCUACCUGCACGGCCGCCUGCGAACUGUGCGCGCACACGCGCACAGUGGGGGCAAGACGUGUGCAUAGCGCACACGUCCCAUCCACAUGUGCGGCGCGGGGUCAAACCCUGCACGCAUCUUAUCGCGCGCAGGCGAGCCCUCCGUGCGUCACCUCACAUGUCGUCCGCGCAGCAAGCUUGCGCAAAUAGGCAACUAUGCGCUUGGGGCCUACAGGCAGUAGGUCUGCAUACGAGGAGGCU
Molecule: long non-coding RNA, 257 nt
Filed under: Carica papaya (papaya)
Lineage: Eukaryota; Viridiplantae; Streptophyta; Magnoliopsida; Brassicales; Caricaceae
Description: long non-coding RNA (CPAP_LNC016054)
Source: RNAcentral